GACGAACGCUGGCGGCGUGCUUAACACAUGCAAGUCGAACGGAAUCCAUGGUGUAGCAAUACACCGGAAGAUUUAGUGGCGAACGGGUGAGGAUCACGUGAGAAACCUGCCCCAGACUUUGGGAUAACAAUUGGAAACGAUUGCUAAUACCGAAUGACGUCGGAGAACCGCAUGGUUCACUGACGAAAGGAAAUCCGGUUUGGGAGGGUCUCGCGGCCUAUCAGCUUGUUGGUGGGGUAAUGGCCUACCAAGGCAACGACGGGUAGCUGGUCUGAGAGGAUGAUCAGCCACACUGGGACUGAGACACGGCCCAGACUCCUACGGGAGGCAGCAGUGGGGAAUCUUGCGCAAUGGGCGAAAGCCUGACGCAGCAACGCCGCGUGCGGGAUGAAGGCCUUCGGGCUGUAAACCGCUUUCAGCAGGAACGAAAAUGACGGUACCUGCAGAAGAAGGAGCGGCCAACUACGUGCCAGCAGCCGCGGUGACACGUAGGCUCCAAGCGUUGUCCGGAUUUAUUGGGCGUAAAGAGCUCGUAGGCGGUUUAGUAAGUCGGGUGUUAAAACUCUGGGCUCAACCCGGAGAGGCCAUCCGAUACUGCUGUGACUUGAGUUCAGGAGGGGAGCGGGGAAUUCCUAGUGUAGCGGUGAAAUGCGCAGAUAUUAGAGGAACACCGGUGGCGAAGCGCCGCUCUGGACUGAAACUGACGCUGAGGAGCGAAAGCAUGGGUAGCAAACAGGAUUAGAUACCUGGUAGUCCAUGCCGUAAACGGUGGGCACUAGGUGUGGGUUCCAACUAACGGGAUCCGCGCCGUCGCUAACGCAUUAAGUGCCCCGCCUGGGGAGUACGGUCGCAAGACUAAAACUCAAAGGAAUUGACGGGGCCCCGCACAAGCAGCGGAGCAUGCGGCUCAAUUCGACGCAACGCGAAGAACCUUACCAAGGCUUGACAUAUAGGGAAAAGUGGCAGAGAUGUCAUGUCCGCAAGGGCCCUAUACAGGUGGUGCAUGGUUGUCGUCAGCUCGUGUCGUGAGAUGUUGGGUUAAGUCCCGCAACGAGCGCAACCCUCGUUCUGUGUUGCCAGCAUUUAGUUGGGGACUCACAGGAGACUGCCGGGGUUAACUCGGAGGAAGGUGAGGAUGACGUCAAAUCAUCAUGCCCCUUAUGUCUUGGGCUGCACGCAUGCUACAAUGGUCGGUACAGAGGGCUGCAAUACCGUAAGGUGGAGCGAAUCCCAAAAAGCCGGUCUCAGUUCGGAUUGAGGUCUGCAACUCGACCUCAUGAAGUUGGAGUUGCUAGUAAUCGUAGAUCAGCAACGCUACGGUGAAUACGUUCCCGGGGCUUGUACACACCGCCCGUCACGUCACGAAAGUCGGUAACACCCAAAGUCAGUGGCCCAACCGCAAGGGGGGAGCUGCCUAAGGUGGGAUCGGUGAUUGGGAUG
This 1440-nucleotide ribosomal RNA is filed under the name uncultured Ilumatobacter sp. RNAcentral describes it as "bacterial SSU rRNA". It matches the Rfam family "Bacterial small subunit ribosomal RNA". The record is from RNAcentral. Lineage: Bacteria; Bacillati; Actinomycetota; Acidimicrobiia; Acidimicrobiales; Ilumatobacteraceae.